GUUCCCAUCUCAUGAUGAACCCAUGUGCCUCUGAGCUGCCAUGACUCGGGCUUCAAAGUAAACGCUCUGAAGAGCUGGAAUGGAA
This 85-nucleotide small nucleolar RNA is filed under the name Jaculus jaculus (lesser Egyptian jerboa). RNAcentral describes it as "Small nucleolar RNA SNORD105 (ENSJJAG00000007267.1)". It matches the Rfam family "Small nucleolar RNA SNORD105". Rfam says of the family: U105 belongs to the C/D family of snoRNAs. It is encoded in an intron of the Suppressor of SWI4 1 homolog (Ssf-1) (Peter Pan homolog) gene. and is predicted to guide 2'O-ribose methylation of residue U799 of the small 18S rRNA subunit. The record is from RNAcentral. Lineage: Eukaryota; Metazoa; Chordata; Mammalia; Rodentia; Dipodidae.